AUAGAAUAGAACUAUAGUCGCACUCAACAUUUACUUAAUGUCCUUAUUUCGUUUUUAUGUUAAUUCAUAAUCAAUAAAAUGACUGCGUAAAAAUGAUUAAAAUAAAAUAAAUAGACAACGCAAUUCGUACACAUGUUUUUCGCCGCCAUUCCUUGAAAAAAAUCCAGUUUCAGUCGAAUCAAUUCAUAGAUACGAUUUCUCCAAUACAUAUUUGUUUUUUCGGAUUCACAAGCAAGCCUAAAUAAGGAGCCGUUUAUCAAGGAUUAUGUCGCCGGUCUCCCCAGUGAAGUACAUAAAAGAAAAAGCGUGUGUGAUGUAACGUAUUAAAUAUCCCGGAAACGGAACUAUAAACCUGAAACGGACAGAUGAAGUUUUCCGCAGUGAUGAGUAAGCUGGGAUUUUGAAAGGGCAUAUAAAGCCUUCGAAACGAUGGAGCUCGGUUGAAUAGGAUUGAUUUCGACGCUGUUGGCGAAUCGAAACAGAACUUAGUAUAUUAGGCUCAUCUGUAAUUCUCUUGCGUAAUUUCUCAUGUGUUUUCCUGUUAAUGUAGAUUUGAAUGAGCGAGUUUAAACUUUAAGUCGGUGUAUUCUUAUCAGCUGUAGAAUUGUAUCAAUGUAAUCCAUUAAGUUCUAUAAUAUAAUGAAUACAUGCUUAGUAGGUAACACAUAAACAACAAUGUUAAGUACCUACCUCGGCGAUUUCCUUCUGACCAAAAAAAAGUACCUACCUCAACAAAAUAUAUUUGUCAUCUAAACAAUGCAUUAUCUAACGUUUAUGUUCAUACUAGCGACCCGCGCUCGCUUCGCUUCGGAAACUGUAAUUUAUUAUUAAUUUCUCCACUAUUUAAUUGAUGUUAUUAUACAUAUAAACCUUCCUCUUCAAUCAUUCUAUCUAUUAAAAAAAAAACGCAUCAAAAUCCGUUGUGUAGUUUUAAAGUUUUAAGGAUACAUAGGGACAGACAGAUAUAGGGGCAGAGAAAGCGACUUUGUUUUAUACUAUGUAGUGAUACUAACAAUUUAUUAAUAUUGAUGAGAUACAUAGUGGUAAUGAUUUUAUAUUUAGACUUAUAAUUGAUGCUUUUCAAGGUCAAGUGUCAUUGGGGAAAAUAUUUUCAAGUUUCAAGUUUGCACUGUGUACCCUGUCAUGGUGUUUCGUUUUUGUAAUUAAACAUUUUGCAACUGAUGUUUGACAAGAGAAAGAGAGAGAGAGAGAGUAUUCUUUAUUGUACACCAAAAAACAAAUAAACAGUGCGAUACAUUAAAAACAAAAAAGUACAAUAGGCGGUCUUAUCGCUAAAAGCGAUCUCUUCCAGACAACCAUCAAGAUUAAUUUUACAUCAAUAGGCCGCGAUUUCUUAAAUGAAUUCCCAAUGAAAUAUCUCUUGACCGUCGAAAGUAACAGAAACGAGUCUAAUGAGUUUUUAAUGUAAAUAAAAUGUAAUUGCUAUGGCCGACGGACGAAAUUAAUUAUAAUCUCAUACGAUUUUUGGGGUACGAAUAGAUAAAUAUAAUGUUCCAUCAAUGUUGUAAACUGUUUUGACUACUUCUUAUUGUAUUUAAUAUUUUCGUUUUGCAUAAUUUUUUUUUAUAACAUAUUACUUGUUUAUUGCUUAGAUUGGUGGACGAGCUCAUGGCCCGCCUGAUGUUAAAUGGUUACCAGAGCCCAUUGACAUCUACAACAUAAAUGCAGCCACCCACCUUGAGACAUUAGUUGUAAGGUCUCACUUUUAAGAGUACAACGUCUGCCCCGCCCUUCAAACCGAAA
Molecule: long non-coding RNA, 1764 nt
Organism: Bombyx mori (domestic silkworm)
Lineage: Eukaryota; Metazoa; Arthropoda; Insecta; Lepidoptera; Bombycidae
Exons: 2
Source: RefSeq, a predicted model, not a curated record